AUGAGAAACAAGUGUUUGCAGGAGUUAUUUCUGGAUCCAAAUGACCACAAGACCAUGAAGAAAGAAUUUGCGGAUUUUUCUCAAAUGAUGAAUGAUUUCGAGAAUGUAGAUUCAAUUGAAGAUAGAAAAGACUUUGAACCGAAGCAAUGGUGGGGCACUCAUGGACGAAGCACAAAGUUCUUGAAAAGUUUGGCAUUGAAGUUACUUGGUCAGCCUUCAUCUUCACCUUCAUUUGAAAGGAAUUGUAGCACAUAUUCCUUCAUCCAUAGUUCCGAGAGAAACAAGCACACUCCUGAACGUGUUGAGGAUUUAGUGUUCGCAUAA
This 324-nucleotide ribosomal RNA is filed under the name Triticum aestivum (bread wheat). Its description in RNAcentral is "partial small subunit ribosomal RNA". The record is from RNAcentral. Lineage: Eukaryota; Viridiplantae; Streptophyta; Magnoliopsida; Poales; Poaceae.